Molecule: non-coding RNA, 1758 nt
Organism: Coturnix japonica (Japanese quail)
Lineage: Eukaryota; Metazoa; Chordata; Aves; Galliformes; Phasianidae
Source: RefSeq, a predicted model, not a curated record
GCUGUUAGUUACAUCCUCCAAGCACUUCCAAAGGCACGCUGCUCUGUAGAAAAAGCUGAGCUGCCCAGAAAGUUUGUGCAGGAAGAAGGCAGCAGUGUCAGUGCACGUCAUCCUGGGGGAUCUGAAAGCAUUUGUGAAGAGAACAGGGAAAGAAGAGGGAAGAGAGCAAAACCAACAGGCACUAGCACUGCUGCCCACAGGGGGCGGGGCUUGAGGCAGGGCCUGUGCCAGAGGGGGGCCUGGCACAGUUAGGGCCAGCUCAGGGCCCAGAGCAGAGGGGGAGCAGGCAGAGGCAGGGCCUUGGGGCCCAGGAUGGAGGAGGACCAGGCACAGCUGGGGCCAGCUCAGGGCCCAGAGCAGAGGGGGACCAGGCACAGCUGAGGCCACUGCAGGGCCCAGGUGGCAUUGUGCUUCCCAAGGAGCAUAUGGACCUUUUAGAUGGGAGUGCACAGCAAGGAUCCAACAGGGUCUCAGCUUCCUUCCUGCUCUGCACCUGAGUGAGGGACACCGUGACCUGCUCAGGAGGCAAGAUGUCAUGUCAGGGAGGUCAGCUCGUGCUAGAAGUCGAUGGCAUCGCUGUAUGAAUCAAGGUCAGUUUAGGAGCAGCUGCUGGUGGAAGGAAUCAAGUCCAGGCUAAUAAACGGAAGCAUCUCCUGGUAAGGUGUCAGAGGUGGCAGUAAUGAUGUCUGUCAUCAUAAAAACCAGAGGGCAGGCUUAUCCAAGUUCUUGCUGGCUGAUGUUUGGGAGUAUCUUGUUUUCCAGCUGAAUGAUAAGAAAGCUAAACAAGCUGAGCCAUUACAGCUUGAGCUGAAGUUGUGAAUGUGCUCCCGGAUGUUUCCUUUAGUGGUAAAUCAUGUUCUGGCACUGUGAUAGUCCUAUCUCUGUUAUGAUUUGGAGCACAGUGUCUGGUUGCAAGCCUUGUGUGCCUGUUCCAUGAACCUUGCUUUCUUUCUGUCUUCAGAGUAAGUGCAGGGUGCUUCCUUGCUUUUGGUGGAUUCAUCCAGGAGGCUUUCAGAAGGCCAAUUGCAGUAUUCAUUACAUGGAGACACACGAUGGGAAUGGACUGUCGUUGCCACCAGGCAAAAAAGAAGCCCUCAGCAGGCAAUCAUUCUGUUCCGCUUUUGGCCAGGCACAGUUGCUUGUCUUCCAGAAUGUCUGCAUAUGGAUGAAUGACAGCACAGUCCUGGGAAUUUUUAAGCAAGGUAGGAAGGGGGACCUGGGGAACUACAGGCUGGUGAGCCUCAGCUUUGUGCCUGGGAAAAUCAUGGAGCAGAUCCUCCUAGAAGCUCUGUUAAGGCAUAUACAAGACAGAGACCUGAGACAGCCAGCACAGUUUGACCAAGGGCAGAUCUUGUCUGAGCAAUGUGGUGUCCUUCUAUGAUGGAGAGAUGGCUUGGGUUGGCAGGGGAAGGGCAAUGGUUGUCAUCUACCUGGACUUCUUCAGAGCCUUUGACAUGUUCCCACACCACAUCCUUCUCUCUAAAUUGGGGAGGUGUUGGAUUUUGUGAUUGUUCAGUGGAUUAGGAAUUGGCUGGCUGGACGCAGGCAACGGGUUGUGAUCGAUGGUUCUGUGUCAGGGUGGAGGCUGAUCACAAGUGAUGUCCCUCUGGGUUUGGUACUGGUACUGAUGCUCUUCAACAUCAAUGACAUAGAUUAUGGCAUCGAGUGCACCCUCAGCAGGUUUGCAGACAAUACAAACUGAACAGUGUAGUCCAUACAUUGAAGGGAAGGGAAGCCAUCCAGAGGGAAUGGACAGGC